RNAcentral lists this unclassified non-coding RNA (315 nucleotides) under plant metagenome. Its description in RNAcentral is "partial contains 5.8S ribosomal RNA, internal transcribed spacer 2, and large subunit ribosomal RNA". The stretch from base 1 to 105 matches the Rfam family "5.8S ribosomal RNA", at positions 50 to 154 of the family's 154-position model. The record is from RNAcentral.
GAACUGCGAUAAGUAAUGUGAAUUGCAGAAUUCAGUGAAUCAUCGAGUCUUUGAACGCACAUUGCGCCCCCUGGCAUUCCGGGGGGCAUGCCUGUCCGAGCGUCAUUGCUGCCCUUCAAGCCCGGCUUGUGUGUUGGGUCGUCGUCCCCUCCGGGGGACGGGCCCGAAAGGCAGCGGCGGCACCGCGUCCGGUCCUCGAGCGUAUGGGGCUUUGUCACCCGUUCGAUAAGGACCGGCCGGGCGCCAGCCGGCGUCUCCAACCUUUUUUUCUCAGGUUGACCUCGGAUCAGGUAGGGAUACCCGCUGAACUUAAGC